CCCAGCGUUCAGACUACCUGUUC
RNAcentral lists this non-coding RNA (23 nucleotides) under Ophiophagus hannah (king cobra). Its record names the gene oha-miR-199b-5p. RNAcentral also lists the same sequence under 1 other name. The record is from miRBase by way of RNAcentral. Lineage: Eukaryota; Metazoa; Chordata; Lepidosauria; Squamata; Elapidae.